Molecule: ribosomal RNA, 253 nt
Filed under: uncultured bacterium
Lineage: Bacteria
Description: partial 16S ribosomal RNA
Rfam family: Bacterial small subunit ribosomal RNA
Source: RNAcentral
UACGAAGGGGGCUAGCGUUGCUCGGAAUUACUGGGCGUAAAGCGCACGUAGGCGGCUUUCUAAGUCGGGGGUGAAAUCCUGGAGCUCAACUCCAGAACUGCCUUCGAUACUGGAAAGCUCGAGUCCGGGAGAGGUGAGUGGAACUGCGAGUGUAGAGGUGAAAUUCGUAGAUAUUCGCAAGAACACCAGUGGCGAAGGCGGCUAACUGGUCCAGAUCUGACGCUGAGGUGCGAAAGCGUGGGGAGCAAACAGG